CAGCAGCCGCGGGAAUACGUAGGGUGCGAGCGUUAAUCGGAAUUACUGGGCGUAAAGCGUGCGCAGGCGGUUUUGUAAGACAGAGGUGAAAUCCCCGGGCUCAACCUGGGAACUGCCUUUGUGACUGCAAGGCUAGAGUACGGCAGAGGGGGAUGGAAUUCCGCGUGUAGCAGUGAAAUGCGUAGAUAUGCGGAGGAACACCGAUGGCGAAGGCAAUCCCCUGGGCCUGUACUGACGCUCAUGCACGAAAGCGUGGGGAGCAAACAGGAUUAGAUACCCCAGUAGUCCCUGUCUCUUAUAC
RNAcentral lists this ribosomal RNA (301 nucleotides) under uncultured bacterium. RNAcentral describes it as "partial 16S ribosomal RNA". It matches the Rfam family "Bacterial small subunit ribosomal RNA", at positions 509 to 807 of the family's 1533-position model. The record is from RNAcentral.